Molecule: ribosomal RNA, 406 nt
Filed under: uncultured bacterium
Lineage: Bacteria
Description: partial 16S ribosomal RNA
Rfam family: Bacterial small subunit ribosomal RNA
Source: RNAcentral
GACGAACGCUGGCGGCGGGCCUAACACAUGCAAGUCGAACGAGUGGCGGACGGGUGAGUAAUGUCUGGGAAUCUGCCCGAUGGAGGGGGAUAACUACUGGAAACGGUAGCUAAUACCGCAUACCAUCGGAUGUGCCCAGAUGGGAUUAGCUAGUAGGUGGGGUAACGGCUAACCUAGGCGACGAUCCCUAGCUGGGCUGAGAGGAUGACCAGCGACACUGGAACUGAGACACGGUCCAGACUCCUCCGGGGGGCAGCGGUGGGGAAUAUUGGACAAUGGGCGCGAGCCUGAUACAGCCAAGCCGCGGUGAUGAAGAAGGCCUUCGGGUUGUAGAGUACUUUCAGAGGGGAGGGGUUGCUCGCAGAAGAAGCACCGGCUAACUCCGUGCCAGCAGCCGCGGUAAUAC